This 484-nucleotide ribosomal RNA is filed under the name uncultured bacterium. RNAcentral's name for it is "partial 16S ribosomal RNA". It matches the Rfam family "Bacterial small subunit ribosomal RNA", at positions 29 to 523 of the family's 1533-position model. The record is from RNAcentral.
AGUGAACGCUGGCGGCGUGCUUAACACAUGCAAGUCGAACGAGAACGGAUUAUAGCUUGCUAUAAUUGUCAGCUAAGUGGCGCACGGGUGAGUAAUGUAUAGGUAAUAUGCCUCUUACUAAGGGACAACAAAUGGAAACGUUUGCUAAUACCUUAUACUCCUUAUUAACAGAAGUUAAUAAGGGAAAGAUUUAUUGGUAAGAGAUUAGCCUGUAUUGUAUCAGUUAGUUGGCGGGGUAAUGGCUUACCAAGACUAUGACACAUAACUGGUUUGAGAGGAUGAUCAGUCACACUGGAACUGAGACACGGUCCAGACUCCUACGGGAGGCAGCAGUGGGGAAUAUUGCACAAUGGACGAAAGUCUGAUGCAGCAACGCCGCGUGGAGGAUGACACAUUUCGGUGCGUAAACUCCUUUUAUAUGAGAAGAUAAUGACGGUAUUAUAUGAAUAAGCACCGGCUAACUCCGUGCCAGCCGCCGCGGUAA